This 423-nucleotide ribosomal RNA is filed under the name uncultured bacterium. Its description in RNAcentral is "bacterial SSU rRNA". It matches the Rfam family "Bacterial small subunit ribosomal RNA", at positions 358 to 773 of the family's 1533-position model. The record is from RNAcentral.
GGAAUAUUGGACAAUGGGCGCAAGCCUGAUCCAGCCAUGCCGCGUGUGUGAAGAAGGCCUUAGGGUUGUAAAGCACUGUCAGGGGGGAGAAAGGUUAUUCACCUAAUACGUGAGUAAAUUGAUGUUACCCACAGAAGAAGCACCGGCUAACUCCGUGCCAGCAGCCGCGGUAAUACGGAGGGUGCAAGCGUUAAUCGGAAUUACUGGGCGUAAAGCGCGCGUAGGCGGCUUUGUAAGUCGGAUGUGAAAGCCCUGGGCUUAACCUGGGAAUUGCAUUCGAUACUGCAUGGCUAGAGUAUGGUAGAGGGAAGUGGAAUUUCCGGUGUAGCGGUGAAAUGCGUAGAUAUCGGAAGGAACACCAGUGGCGAAGGCGACUUCCUGGGCCAAUACUGACGCUGAGGUGCGAAAGCGUGGGGAGCAAAC